Molecule: transfer RNA, 67 nt
Filed under: Marmota monax (woodchuck)
Lineage: Eukaryota; Metazoa; Chordata; Mammalia; Rodentia; Sciuridae
Description: tRNA.Ala
Rfam family: tRNA
About the family: Transfer RNA (tRNA) molecules are approximately 80 nucleotides in length. Their secondary structure includes four short double-helical elements and three loops (D, anti-codon, and T loops).
Source: RNAcentral
GGUUGUGGCUCAGUGGUAGAGCGCUUGCCUAGCACACAUGAGGCAUUGAGUUCAAUUCUCAGCACCA